RNAcentral lists this ribosomal RNA (2443 nucleotides) under Escherichia coli. RNAcentral describes it as "bacterial LSU rRNA". It matches the Rfam family "Bacterial large subunit ribosomal RNA", at positions 398 to 2826 of the family's 2925-position model. The record is from RNAcentral. Lineage: Bacteria; Pseudomonadati; Pseudomonadota; Gammaproteobacteria; Enterobacterales; Enterobacteriaceae.
UGUGAGCUCGAUGAGUAGGGCGGGACACGUGGUAUCCUGUCUGAAUAUGGGGGGACCAUCCUCCAAGGCUAAAUACUCCUGACUGACCGAUAGUGAACCAGUACCGUGAGGGAAAGGCGAAAAGAACCCCGGCGAGGGGAGUGAAAAAGAACCUGAAACCGUGUACGUACAAGCAGUGGGAGCCUCUUUUAUGGGGUGACUGCGUACCUUUUGUAUAAUGGGUCAGCGACUUAUAUUCUGUAGCAAGGUUAACCGAAUAGGGGAGCCGAAGGGAAACCGAGUCUUAACUGGGCGUUAAGUUGCAGGGUAUAGACCCGAAACCCGGUGAUCUAGCCAUGGGCAGGUUGAAGGUUGGGUAACACUAACUGGAGGACCGAACCGACUAAUGUUGAAAAAUUAGCGGAUGACUUGUGGCUGGGGGUGAAAGGCCAAUCAAACCGGGAGAUAGCUGGUUCUCCCCGAAAGCUAUUUAGGUAGCGCCUCGUGAAUUCAUCUCCGGGGGUAGAGCACUGUUUCGGCAAGGGGGUCAUCCCGACUUACCAACCCGAUGCAAACUGCGAAUACCGGAGAAUGUUAUCACGGGAGACACACGGCGGGUGCUAACGUCCGUCGUGAAGAGGGAAACAACCCAGACCGCCAGCUAAGGUCCCAAAGUCAUGGUUAAGUGGGAAACGAUGUGGGAAGGCCCAGACAGCCAGGAUGUUGGCUUAGAAGCAGCCAUCAUUUAAAGAAAGCGUAAUAGCUCACUGGUCGAGUCGGCCUGCGCGGAAGAUGUAACGGGGCUAAACCAUGCACCGAAGCUGCGGCAGCGACGCUUAUGCGUUGUUGGGUAGGGGAGCGUUCUGUAAGCCUGUGAAGGUGUGCUGUGAGGCAUGCUGGAGGUAUCAGAAGUGCGAAUGCUGACAUAAGUAACGAUAAAGCGGGUGAAAAGCCCGCUCGCCGGAAGACCAAGGGUUCCUGUCCAACGUUAAUCGGGGCAGGGUGAGUCGACCCCUAAGGCGAGGCCGAAAGGCGUAGUCGAUGGGAAACAGGUUAAUAUUCCUGUACUUGGUGUUACUGCGAAGGGGGGACGGAGAAGGCUAUGUUGGCCGGGCGACGGUUGUCCCGGUUUAAGCGUGUAGGCUGGUUUUCCAGGCAAAUCCGGAAAAUCAAGGCUGAGGCGUGAUGACGAGGCACUACGGUGCUGAAGCAACAAAUGCCCUGCUUCCAGGAAAAGCCUCUAAGCAUCAGGUAACAUCAAAUCGUACCCCAAACCGACACAGGUGGUCAGGUAGAGAAUACCAAGGCGCUUGAGAGAACUCGGGUGAAGGAACUAGGCAAAAUGGUGCCGUAACUUCGGGAGAAGGCACGCUGAUAUGUAGGUGAAGUCCCUUGCGGAUGGAGCUGAAAUCAGUCGAAGAUACCAGCUGGCUGCAACUGUUUAUUAAAAACACAGCACUGUGCAAACACGAAAGUGGACGUAUACGGUGUGACGCCUGCCCGGUGCCGGAAGGUUAAUUGAUGGGGUCAGCGCAAGCGAAGCUCUUGAUCGAAGCCCCGGUAAACGGCGGCCGUAACUAUAACGGUCCUAAGGUAGCGAAAUUCCUUGUCGGGUAAGUUCCGACCUGCACGAAUGGCGUAAUGAUGGCCAGGCUGUCUCCACCCGAGACUCAGUGAAAUUGAACUCGCUGUGAAGAUGCAGUGUACCCGCGGCAAGACGGAAAGACCCCGUGAACCUUUACUAUAGCUUGACACUGAACAUUGAGCCUUGAUGUGUAGGAUAGGUGGGAGGCUUUGAAGUGUGGACGCCAGUCUGCAUGGAGCCGACCUUGAAAUACCACCCUUUAAUGUUUGAUGUUCUAACGUGGACCCGUGAUCCGGGUUGCGGACAGUGUCUGGUGGGUAGUUUGACUGGGGCGGUCUCCUCCUAAAGAGUAACGGAGGAGCACGAAGGUUGGCUAAUCCUGGUCGGACAUCAGGAGGUUAGUGCAAUGGCAUAAGCCAGCUUGACUGCGAGCGUGACGGCGCGAGCAGGUGCGAAAGCAGGUCAUAGUGAUCCGGUGGUUCUGAAUGGAAGGGCCAUCGCUCAACGGAUAAAAGGUACUCCGGGGAUAACAGGCUGAUACCGCCCAAGAGUUCAUAUCGACGGCGGUGUUUGGCACCUCGAUGUCGGCUCAUCACAUCCUGGGGCUGAAGUAGGUCCCAAGGGUAUGGCUGUUCGCCAUUUAAAGUGGUACGCGAGCUGGGUUUAGAACGUCGUGAGACAGUUCGGUCCCUAUCUGCCGUGGGCGCUGGAGAACUGAGGGGGGCUGCUCCUAGUACGAGAGGACCGGAGUGGACGCAUCACUGGUGUUCGGGUUGUCAUGCCAAUGGCACUGCCCGGUAGCUAAAUGCGGAAGAGAUAAGUGCUGAAAGCAUCUAAGCACGAAACUUGCCCCGAGAUGAGUUCUCCCUGACUCCUUGA